UACGUAGGGCGCAAGCGUUAUCCGGAAUUAUUGGGCGUAAAGAGCUCGUAGGCGGUUUGUCGCGUCUGCCGUGAAAGUCCGGGGCUCAACUCCAGAUCUGCGGUGGGUACGGGCAGACUAGAGUGAUGUAGGGGAGACUGGAAUUCCUGGUGUAGCGGUGAAAUGCGCAGAUAUCAGGAGGAACACCGAUGGCGAAGGCAGGUCUCUGGGCAUUAACUGACGCUGAGGAGCGAAAGCAUGGGGAGCGAACAGG
RNAcentral lists this ribosomal RNA (253 nucleotides) under uncultured bacterium. Its description in RNAcentral is "partial 16S ribosomal RNA". It matches the Rfam family "Bacterial small subunit ribosomal RNA", at positions 524 to 776 of the family's 1533-position model. The record is from RNAcentral.